This 469-nucleotide ribosomal RNA is filed under the name uncultured bacterium. Its description in RNAcentral is "bacterial SSU rRNA". It matches the Rfam family "Bacterial small subunit ribosomal RNA", at positions 28 to 507 of the family's 1533-position model. The record is from RNAcentral.
AAUGAACGUUGGCGGCGUGGAUUAGGCAUGCAAGUCGUGCGGUAAGGCCCCUUCGGGGGUACACGAGCGGCGUAAGGGAGAGUAACGCGUGGACAACCUACCCUCGGGUCCGGGAUAGCUGCGGGAAGCUGCAGGUAAUACCGGAUAACAUCUCCGGAUCAAAGGUGUGAUUCCGCCUGGGGACGGGUCCGCGUCCUAUUAGCUUGUUGGUGAGGUAACGGCUCACCAAGGCAACGAUGGGUACCGGGCGUGAGAGCGUGACCCGGCUCACUGGGACUGAGACACUGCCCAGACACCUACGGGUGGCUGCAGUCGAGAAUCUUCGGCAAUGGGCGCAAGCCUGACCGAGCGACGCCGCGUGUGGGAUGAAGGCCUUCGGGUUGUAAACCGCUGUCAGUUGGGAGGAAAUGCCAUGGGGUUCUCUCCAUGGUUUGACCUAUCUUCAGAGGAAGUCCGGGCUAAGUUCGUG